RNAcentral lists this ribosomal RNA (428 nucleotides) under uncultured organism. RNAcentral's name for it is "bacterial SSU rRNA". It matches the Rfam family "Bacterial small subunit ribosomal RNA", at positions 355 to 775 of the family's 1533-position model. The record is from RNAcentral.
UGGGGAAUUUUGGACAAUGGGCGAAAGCCUGAUCCAGCAAUGCCGCGUGUGCGAAGAAGGCCUUCGGGUUGUAAAGCACUUUUGUCCGGAAAGAAAUACGCCUGGUUAAUACCCGGGCGGGAUGACGGUACCGGAAGAAUAAGCACCGGCUAACUACGUGCCAGCAGCCGCGGUAAUACGUAGGGUGCGAGCGAUAAUCGGAAUUACUGGGCGUAAAGCGUGCGCAGGCGGCGAUGCAAGACAGGUGGGAAAUCCCCGGGCUUAACCUGGGAACUGCACUUGUAACUGCAUGGCGAGAGUGCGUCAGAGGGGGGUGGAAUUCCGCGUGUAGCAGUGAAAUGCGUAGAGAUGCGGAGGAACACCGAUGGCGAAGGCAGCCCCCUGGGAUGACACUGACGCUCAGGCACGAAAGCGUGGGGAGCAAACAG